AUGGCCGCAUCCUGCUCGUUCCGUACCAUCGUCCGAGCUCCGCCGCCUCCGCGGGGCCUCGCCGGGGCCAGGAGAUCAGUCCGCUGCUGCAGCAGCGCCGCUCCCGCAGGCGCCUCCACAUCCAAGCUCGUCCUGGAGGUGAAAGAGAGGCUCGAAAGGGAGCAUCCGGGCCUCCCGACGGGCAGGAGCGGCAGGGAUGACGACGAGAUGAUCCUCUGGUUCUUGAAGGACAGGAAGUUCGCCGUCGACGAAGCCGUCUCCAAGCUGGCCAAGGCCAUCAAAUGGCGUCAGGAUUUCCGCUUGUCAGAACUAUCAGAAGAAUCAGUGAAAGGGUUGUACCAAACUGGCAAGGCAUAUGUGCAUGAUUCUUUUGACAUCAACGGCAGGCCUGUGUUAGUAGUAGUGGCAGCCAAACAUUUCCCUUCUAAACAAGACCCACUUGAAAACGAGAAGCUAUGUGCCUUUUUGGUCGAAAAGGCUCUACGUAAACUUCCCAUGGGAACAGAUAAUAUACUUGGAAUUUUCGAUCUUCGAGGCUUCGGUGUAGAAAAUGGUGAUCUCCAAUUCUUAAAGUUUUUGAUUUUUCAGAUUGAUGUGUUCUACUAUUACUAUCCCAAGCGGCUUGGCGAAGUUCUGUUUGUCGAUGCACCAUUUGUGUUUCAGCCAAUGUGGCAGCUCGUUAAGCCUCUGCUGAAACAAUACGCCUCCUUGGUGAGAUUUUGUGAUGCCGAGACCGUGAGAAAGGAGUACUUCACAGAAGAAACCGUGCCUCCCGAUUUCCGCCGUUAG
RNAcentral lists this ribosomal RNA (789 nucleotides) under Triticum aestivum (bread wheat). RNAcentral's name for it is "partial small subunit ribosomal RNA". The record is from RNAcentral. Lineage: Eukaryota; Viridiplantae; Streptophyta; Magnoliopsida; Poales; Poaceae.